AUGAUUGAAGAAUCAGAACGUCAUUUCGAAAUAAUAAUGAACAGACCAACACUUGAGGAAAUGAACAAGCCUUCCCACAUUGGCGGUUGCCUUCCUAUUUGGGGGAUCAUUUAUCUGGAUUUCGUUGACUUUGAUGUCAUCGAGAACCACCAGUCAACUAUUGAUUAUUCUCUACCCCGGAUCAGCCACAUUAAGAAUGCUGACUUCCAAUACCUAGCUUUGGUUGAUAGGAAUUAUGAGUCUAGGAAAGCGUUUGGAGUACUACCAUUAUACUAA
RNAcentral lists this ribosomal RNA (276 nucleotides) under Triticum aestivum (bread wheat). RNAcentral describes it as "partial small subunit ribosomal RNA". Lineage: Eukaryota; Viridiplantae; Streptophyta; Magnoliopsida; Poales; Poaceae. The record is from RNAcentral.